AAUAGAUACCCGGGUAGUCCACGCCGUAAACGAUGAGUGCUAAGUGUUAGAGGGUUUCCGCCCUUUAGUGCUGCAGCUAACGCAUUAAGCAUUCCGCCUGGGGAGUACGGCCGCAAGGCUGAAACUCAAAGGAAUUGACGGGGGGCCCGCACAAGCGGUGGAGCAUGUGGUUUAAUUCGAAGCAACGCGAAGAACCUUACCAGGUCUUGACAUCCUCUGACAACCCUAGAGAUAGGGCUUUCCCCCUUCGGGGGACAGAGUGACAGGUGGUGCAUGGUUGUCGUCAGCUCGUGUCGUGAGAUGUUGGGUUAAGUCCCGCAACGAGCGCAACCCUUGAUCUUAGUUGCCAGCAUUCAGUUGGGCACUCUAAGGUGACUGCCGGUGACAAACCGGAGGAAGGUGGGGAUGACGUCAAAUCAUCAUGCCCCUUAUGACCUGGGCUACACACGUGCUACAAUGGAUGGUACAAAGGGCUGCAAACCUGCGAGGGUAAGCGAAUCCCAUAAAGCCAUUCUCAGUUCGGAUUGCAGG
Molecule: ribosomal RNA, 531 nt
Filed under: uncultured bacterium
Lineage: Bacteria
Description: bacterial SSU rRNA
Rfam family: Bacterial small subunit ribosomal RNA
Source: RNAcentral